GAGAUUAAGAUUGACAGGAUAGCAGGGUUCAGCUGAAUUGGCCGUAUACUGGACAUCUCCAAAAUCCCUCAAGACUAGUAGGUUGUGACCUAUUAAUUCGAAAAGGGACAAGCCCUUUCUUUCGUAGACAUAAGCUGUAUAUAAACUUACGACCAAGUAUACUGUAAUUAUAACACACAUGGGACUAUCAAAAAGGUCUGUCACUUACGGACCA
This 214-nucleotide long non-coding RNA is filed under the name Elaeis guineensis (African oil palm). RNAcentral describes it as "long non-coding RNA (EGUI_LNC031048)". Lineage: Eukaryota; Viridiplantae; Streptophyta; Magnoliopsida; Arecales; Arecaceae. The record is from RNAcentral.